This 535-nucleotide long non-coding RNA is filed under the name Rattus norvegicus (Norway rat). Its description in RNAcentral is "long non-coding RNA NONRATT013623". Lineage: Eukaryota; Metazoa; Chordata; Mammalia; Rodentia; Muridae. The record is from RNAcentral.
AGCGGAAGUGCCCAAGUAAUACUCCCAGGGUUCCAGUGCAGUGCCACCAUCAGAGAAAGAAGUUUUGGUCAUUACCUUCUGCUAACGGAGAGCUCAGGGGUCCAGGCAGAAGCAAAGAGAACGGGGACCCACAUACCACUCUGCCUCUAAUCCAUUUGGCCAGAGUUUCCCAGAGACUCUCUGGAGAAAGUCAGCCUUGCGAUGGGCACACUGACAUCUGCGUCUGGGUCCUAGUUCACGCUUUUGAGACUUUUCGUAUGAACCGCGUUGUAGAAUACCCUUGCUUGGUCAGUUACUGGUCCCUGGUAUCUAACCGUGCCUUUCUGCUGCCCCGGUUGGUCGGCACAGCCCUCCGCUGAUACUUAAGUAGGAAUGUGAUGGGCGUUGUAAGCGUGGGAAACUAUGUAAAUUGUGUUUGUAUUUAAUGAUGAUCCCCUUAGGUGGUUGUACUGCAGUUUGAUCAUGUUGUAAACUCCCGCAUAAGAUAAAUGUAUAUCUGCUUUUGUACGCUCAUUAAAUAUUUUAACAGACCAAA